GACGAACCGUGCGAACGUUAUUCGGAAUCACGGGGCUUAAAGCGCGUGUAGGCGGCCCGGCACGUCCGUCGCUGAAAUCCCCCGGCUCAACCGGGGAAGUGGCGUGGAUACGACCGGGCUGGAGGGGGGUAGGGGGAGCCGGAACUUCCGGUGGAGCGGUGAAAUGCGUUGAGAUCGGAAGGAACGCCCGUGGCGAAAGCGGGCUCCUGGACCCCACCUGACGCUGAGACGCGAAAGCCAGGGGAGCGAACGGG
Molecule: ribosomal RNA, 254 nt
Filed under: uncultured bacterium
Lineage: Bacteria
Description: partial 16S ribosomal RNA
Rfam family: Bacterial small subunit ribosomal RNA
Source: RNAcentral